This 391-nucleotide unclassified non-coding RNA is filed under the name soil metagenome. Its description in RNAcentral is "partial contains 5.8S ribosomal RNA, internal transcribed spacer 2, and large subunit ribosomal RNA". The stretch from base 1 to 122 matches the Rfam family "5.8S ribosomal RNA", at positions 35 to 154 of the family's 154-position model. The record is from RNAcentral.
GAUGAAGAACGCAGUGAAAUGCGAUACUUGGUGUGAAUUGCAGAAUCCCGUGAACCAUCGAGUUUUUGAACGCAAGUUGCGCCCGAAGCCGUUAGGCCGAGGGCACGCCUGCCUGGGUGUCACACGUCGUUGCCCCCCCAUCUACUCCUUCGGGAUUGCGGGGGGCGGAUGAUGGCCUCCCGUGCGCCUCGCCGCGCGGUUGGCAUAAAUGCCAAGUCCUCGGCGACGCACGCCACGACAAUCGGUGGUUGCGAAACCUCGGUUGCCCGUCGUGUGCGGUCGUCGCGCAUCGAGGGCUCGAAAAAAUUGCCGGGUUCCGGCUCGGCUUUCAACGCGACCCCAGGUCAGGCGGGGUUACCCGCUGAAUUUAAGCAUAUCAAUAAGCGGAGGA